UUUCCGUAGGUGAACCUGCGGAAGGAUCAUUCAUAUUAAAGUGUUUUAUGGCACUUUUUAAAAAUCCAUAUCCACCUUGUGUGCAAUGUUAGAUCUCGUCAAUCUUGGCGAGAUUUUUAUACAUCAACUCAUUCUUUAACUAAUUUGUCUGAAAAAUAUUAUAAAUACUUAAUUCAAAAUACAACUUUCAACAACGGAUCUCUUGGCUCUC
This 211-nucleotide unclassified non-coding RNA is filed under the name plant metagenome. Its description in RNAcentral is "partial contains small subunit ribosomal RNA, internal transcribed spacer 1, and 5.8S ribosomal RNA". The record is from RNAcentral.